AGGAAGUGUGUGGCAUGACUCAGUUCCAUGGCCAAAGACCCCAGCAUUCAAGAACCUGUAGGAACAACAAACAGAUUUAAUUAUACUUGCUGUUCAUCAUAUUUUAUCCAACUCCCUGUUCACCAGGUAUUAAUUUGCCAUAAAUUUUCCUUGACCUUUCUAUUAAUAGCCUUAUCAACCUUGGUAAGCUAACAAGUAUUCAUGCUUUUUCCAAAAGUAGUAGGGCCACUAAAAAACUCAUUAUAAUUGAUAAAAUAAUGGUAACUCGGUUAUAACUCAUCCCACCAGACCCAAUGAACUUAACUGCCGUCCAGUUUGGACUAUUUCCACAAAAGUGAUAUUCUGUCCAGUUUUAUGAUAAUUGCUAAGUUUGUAGUAUAUAAAAAAAAAAACCCUCACCUAAUGAGCUCUUUUUGAAGGGCUGCUCCUUGCUUGGUUCUUCGAUGAGAAGUAGCACCAAAACCAGUGGUAACACCAUAGCUGUCAGUGCCUUUGUUCAUGCCAUCAAGGACCCAAUCAGCACUGGCCUUGACGCCAGCCCUAGCAUCCUCGGAAAGCUCAACCUUGA
This 568-nucleotide long non-coding RNA is filed under the name Gossypium raimondii (Peruvian cotton). RNAcentral's name for it is "long non-coding RNA (GRAI_LNC004930)". The record is from RNAcentral. Lineage: Eukaryota; Viridiplantae; Streptophyta; Magnoliopsida; Malvales; Malvaceae.